This 97-nucleotide ribosomal RNA is filed under the name Staphylococcus aureus. Its description in RNAcentral is "partial 23S ribosomal RNA". It matches the Rfam family "Bacterial large subunit ribosomal RNA", at positions 2828 to 2925 of the family's 2925-position model. The record is from RNAcentral. Lineage: Bacteria; Bacillati; Bacillota; Bacilli; Caryophanales; Staphylococcaceae.
UAAGAUCCCUCAAAGAUGAUGAGGUUAAUAGGUUCGAGGUGGAAGCAUGGUGACAUGUGGAGCUGACGAAUACUAAUCGAUCGAAGACUUAAUCAAA